AUCGCGGAAACAAUCUAGGUCAUAAAAACAACGCCCUCAGGUGACGAAAAUGGAAAAUAUUUGAGAAAAGAAAGUUUUGUUGAACCUCAAGAUGGAUCCAGGAAAUGAAAAUCCUUCAGAGAGCCCGGGUGUUCCAGUCAAUCUCAAUGAUCUACAACAUUACCUGGUUUCCUUUAACAAAGAAAUCGAACAGACUGAUGAUCCUGAUCAAUUUACAGUAGGAGCGGACACUGCUGGUGUGGUGGUUGGGGAAGCCUUAACAGAUGUUCAGACAGAGUCCGGGUUCAUCACCAUAGAAGCCCAGAAAGUGGAGCCAAUAGACUCUGGAAAUGUGGAAAAUGUUGUCAAUGUUGUUGAUCUGAAACUUCCUUAUGGUACCACUAUGGAUAUAAGUGAAGCUGUUCAGCAGCUAAGUCAGGUGGAGACAACUCCUGAUGUCGGUGGUCAAACUCAACCAAUUGCAAAUGGCCAACCCGAUGAAGUGUCUGUUGACCUGGAGGACCCCGGUAUUGACCAGGGUGUGACCAACUGUAUCAGUAUGGCAGAAGUCCAGGCACACAUGGCAGAGCUGGCUGCCCAGGGUCAAGUUACAAAACUGACCAAUGUGGAGGAACUCACCAAGGCAGUAAACAACAAACAGACAGAGUGCUUUAUGAAACAACUUGAGAUCCCUGUAAGUGAUUCAGGAGAUGGGGAGCAGAAGAUUGUCCAUGUUGUGUCCAUCGACGGUCAGGAGCACAUGCAGCUAGUGGAUGCUGGAGCUACAGGUCUGACCACAGGACUGAACACCAGCACCGGUCAACUCAUACACAUCCCUGCUGUGUCUACCACUCUCACAGACAGCAUUGAACAGGAACUCGCUAACACUGUUGGGAAUGGCUCAGAUCCUGUUGCUGUUCUGGCCUCUGUUGCGGCCAACACUUCCACACUCAACCAGCUACAGACAAUUACGGUGGGUCAGACAGAGCUAAAUUCAGCACAGGUCGUAGCUCUACAGAACUCGGCUGACAGUUCACAGCCACAGCUGGUUGCUGUUCAGGCUCAAGAAGGUGCCAUGGAAAUCUUGGGUGCAGAGGUAGAAAACCACUCCAACUCAAUUGUCCUAAACACAGGUGAUAACAACUUCCAAACGGUUACCAUUGUACCCUCCGAGAUGAAUCCCAGUGGAGAAAUGAGUUACGUGCUGAUUGUGUCACAGCCCGAUAAGGAUGAUGGCAAUAGCAUUGGUUCACCCAAACAGCUGUCCCUUGAUAUGAGCAGUAUGCUAGACAUGAAGGAUGAAACACAAGAAAUGGUGGAAGAAGUCGUUCAGGAGGACGGGACGACUCGCCGUAUCAUAACAUUUGUGCCAAAGCGUAUGUCAAUGCCAGUAUCCAACCAAGCACAGCUUAUGUGCCACUACUGUGAUUACACAAGUCCUAAGCGAUACCUAUUGAUGCGCCACAUGAAGACCCACUCAGAAGACCGACCACACAAGUGUAACAUAUGUGAUCGUGGAUUCAAGACAAUGGCUUCCCUACAGAAUCAUGUGAACACACACACCGGCACUAGGCCUCACAAGUGUAAAGGGUGUGGCUCAGCGUUCACCACCUCAGGUGAACUUGUCAGGCACAUUCGUUACAAACAUACAUUCGAGAAGCCCCACAAGUGUACCGAGUGUGACUAUGCUAGUGUAGAGCUUAGCAAGAUGAAGAGACACAUGCGUUCACACACAGGUGAGCGUCCGUAUCAUUGUCCCCACUGUAAUUAUGCCAGUCCUGAUACAUACAAGCUCAAGCGACACUUGCGGAUACAUACGGGGGAAAAGCCCUACGAAUGUGACGUAUGUCAUGCACGAUUCACUCAGAGCAACAGUCUCAAAGCUCACAAACUCAUCCACUCCGGUAAUAAACCUGUGUUUCUGUGUCACCUGUGUCCAACAACGUGUGGUCGCAAAACAGAUUUAAAAAUUCACAUGUCAAAGCUACACAGCAGUGCAAAACCUUUGACUUGUAAGAAGUGUGGGAGCACCUGCCCAGACAGAUACCAGUACAAAUUACACAUGAAAAGUCAUGAGGGAGAGAAGUGCUUCAAGUGUGAGCAGUGUGACUACGCUGCUCAGUCGCUCCGUCACCUGGAGAGUCACAUACUCACACACACAGGCGAAAAGCCAUUUGAUUGUAAGGAGUGUGGUCAGACGUUUCGCCAAAAGCAGUUGUUACGCCGACACAUAAACCUGUACCACUCACCGGAGUACAGCCCGCCAGAGACGCGUGACAAGAUGUACGAGUGUGAUGAAUGUGACAAGACAUUUGCUCAUAAGGGCAACUUGAUGCGUCACAUGCAACAACAUGACCCUGAUAGCCUUCAGUACAAGGACCUUGCUGGCCAGGGACGGUUACGUGAGAGUCUCUCAUCCCCACUCACUGCUGAACAACUGUUACAGGGUAGUCUGCUCACAGAGAUGAGAGAAGGAAAACUGGGAAACACACCCAAGAUAGUUAUAGUACACCCAGACGGGAGGGUCGAGGAGGUCACAUCCAAGCUACAAAGUCUUGCCCAUGAGAAAGAUGUGGAGGAUGUCCUCAUGGGGAUGACUGAGGACAGAGACCAGGUGGAGGAUGGCCAUCCUGACUCCAUUUUACAGGUAACUAGUGGUGGGAACCUUGACAACCAGACUAUAAGGAUGUCCUUGGCAACUGCUACUAUGCCUAACCCAGACUCAGAAUCGGUUCUACAGGAUUUACAACAGCAGACUGGUGAUGAGCGGAAAGAUGUUGAAACUCAAGUUGCCUUGGAGACUGAUAGUGAGCAUGAAGAGGAAGUUGAGCAAAUUUUUCAACAAAGCGGGGCAAAUGCUGAGGAUGGAAAUGCAGAUAUCCUACAGAUUGACCUACAUACAGCGGCCCAGGAUCAGGAGGCUGCCGAGAAUGUGGUCAUCAGUCUGCAGACAACUAUGGAUACAAGAUCAAAAAAGAGAAGAGAAAGCAGUGAAGAUAGUACCAGUCCAUCCAAGAGAAUAAAGAUCAGCUAAGGGGAGCUAAGAAGAUGCGCAAUCACCCUCAUAAUAGCAUGAUCAUGAAAUUUCAUACGAGAGGAAUUUGUUCUCAUUUGAUAAGACACAGAUGGAUAUACCAUAUUUAUCCAGCAAUAAGCCCAAUAUACAAUCUCAUAGUGGAAAAUCGGCUUAUUACAGAACAUUGAAAUAUCAUUAGCAUACCUGCCAACCCCGGCUAUACCGAAAAAGGGUGAUGUCACUCUUUUGAAAAUAAAAGAGAGGGUCAUAGCGUGUGACGUCUUUUUUCGGCAAUAAAUAUAAAACCAGUAGAUAUUAAAUUAGAACUUCAAUAUUUUGUUGAUGCAAAAGGUGUAGUCUACAGUAAGAACAUUCAUUGACAGCUCUUGUUGUAUUCAGGUGCAGUCUACAGUAAGACCAUUCAUUGACAGCUCUUAUAGUCAGGUGUAGUCUACAGUAAGAACAUUCAUUGAGAGCUCUUGUUGUAGUCAGUUGUAGUCUACAGUAAGAACAUUCAUUGACAGCUCUUGUUGUAGUCAGGUGUAGUCUACAGCAAGACCAUUCAUUGACAGCUCUUAUAGUCAGGUGGAGUCUACAGUAAGAACAUUCAUUGACAGCUCUUGUUGUAUUCAGGUGUAGUCUACAGUAAUAACAUUCAUUGACAGCUCUUGUUGUAUUCCGGUGUAGUCUACAGUAAGAACGUUCAUUGACAGCUCUUGUUGUAUGCAGGUGUAGUCUACAGUAAGACCAUUCAUUGACAGCCCUUGUUGUAUUCAGGUGUAGUCUACAGUAAUAACAUUCAUUGACAGCUCUUGUUGUAUUCAGGAGUAGUCUACAGUAAUAACAUUCAUUGACAGCUCUUGUUGUAUUCAGGUGUGGUCUAUAGUAAGAAUGUUCAUUGACAGCUCUUGUUAUAGUCAGGUGUAGUCUACAGUAAGACUAUUCAUUGACAGCUCUUGUUGUAUUCAGGUGUGGUCUAUAGUAAGAAUGUUCAUUGACAGCUCUUGUUGUAUUCAGGUUUAGUCUACAGUAAUAACAUUCAUUGACAGCUCUUGUUGUAUUCCGGUGUAGUCUACAGUAAGAACGUUCAUUGACAGUUCUUGUUGUAUUCAGGUGUAGUCUAUAGUAAGAAUGUUCAUUGACAGCUCUUGUUGUAGUCAGGUGUAGUCUAUAGUAAGAACAUUCAUUGAGAGCUCUUGUUGAAGUCAGUUGUAGUCUACAGUAGGAACAUUCAUUGACAGCUCUUGUUGUAUUCCGGUGUAGUCUACAGUAAGAACGUUCAUUGACAGCUCUUGGUGUAUUCAGGUGUAGGCUACAGUAAGAACGUUCAUUGACAGCUCUUGUUGUAGUCAGGUGUAGUCUACAGCAAGACCAUUCAUUGACAGCUCUUGUUGUAUUCAGGCGUAGUCUACAGUAAGACCAUUCAUUGACAGCCCUUGUUGUAUUCAGGUGUAGUCUACAGUAAGACCAUUCAUUGAAAGCUCUUGUUGUAGUCAGGUGUAGUCUAUAGUAAGAACAUUCAUUGAGAGCUCUUGUUGAAGUCAGUUGUAGUCUACAGUAGGAACAUUCAUUGACAGCUCUUGUUGUAGUCGGGUGUAGUCUACAGUAAGACCAUUCAUUGACAGCUCUUGUUGUAGUCAGGUGUAACAGAUUAUGCAGCAGCUUAUACAGUUGCUGGUGGUUGAUAUUUAGGACAAGAAUCAUGUUGAUUAAAUUUACAGCCUAGCAGGACACACAAAGUGUCAUUAUGCAAAUCUGCUCUAAAUUUAAUGUGUAUUUUUUUUAAAGCUCUUUCUGAGUCUGUAUUACUAUUUGGCAGUACCAACUGUUUUUUGCCAGUCAAGACAACACAUGAAAUCUUCGUUUCUGAGACAAGAUGUCUUCGACUGUACUCGUAUGUCCCCAGUAUUGUUCAAUCCUGCUUUCAUUUUCACAUGCUUGAAUAUCACCAACAGGGAUUAGUUAAUAGUCUGAGAACUGUGCUGCCAGCAGGUUUAGCUGAUCCUCAUCCAAGAUAUCCCGGAAACUCUUCACCAAAUUCAAAACUGAAAAAUAGCAAGAUUUUUCAACAACACUACCCAUAAAAUAAGCUUGGCAUCAGAUCUAACUGUAUGCGAUUUACAAAGAGUGCAGUAUUCAUUGUUUGGUCCAUGAUCACUGGGGUUAUCUUCUUCAACUCAUUUGUCUAUGACAUUUGAUAUAUGCCCAAAUAUCUUUCAAUUUUUCACAUUUAGUAUAGUAGAACCUGCAGGUCCCGAUAAUGACAUCUUUUUUCAAGAAGAUAUACCUUCCAAAUGUGAUCUAGACUACGGGAUUUUAAAAACAACUGAACUUUGUGUAAAAACAUCUUUCUACUUACCUGUAGAUAAGUUUGGUCACAUCGGUCUAUAUAUAAACAUUUGUAAAAAACAAUUCAAGUAUGUAAAGACAACUAACAACUUUCCUGUCACUGAGAAAUGAAACAGGAAAUGGACCGUCUUCCUUUCGGCAGAGGAUAAAAAAGUCUAGACAAUUCCAAAUGACUUCGAUACCUUCCAAUGUACGAAAAAAUUCCAGAUGAAAAGAUUGAAAAUAGUAACCCAGCGUGUGAAGUUGUUAAAGCUGGUUAAGGACUAACAUUCUGGGUGUAAUCCGAUGAAAUCAGGUCACUUAGCAGGUAUGCAUUUGUUAACAUUUAUACUUAACUAAAGAUAUGAGUGAGUUAUUACCAGGCAUGGGCAUAUUGCCAGAUAAAUAAAUCAACUGAAUUCCUUAAUAUUUUCAUUACUUUUUCAAUUUGAAUUGUAAAUGUUGAUACAUGUGACUGAAAGCAUACGUCUAUAUUGCUGUGCAAUGCCUUGUGAAUGAACAACUUCUAAACAUUUUUCUAUUAAAAAUAUGAGUUUAUAAAUAACUUUUAAUUAGCCAGCAAUGAAGUAAUUUGAAGUCUGAACAUUAUCUUGUGAUUAUUGACACUUUUAUUCAUAAAAUUUGUUCAUGUUGACAGUUAAUUCUUUGAUAUUUAUAUACUAAGAAAAGGGCCCCGAGACAAAUACCAGGUAUUGUUUUUACAGGGUGUGUAAUAUGUUCUAACUUUACCAUGCUUAAAGAAACCGAAUUGAUUCAUAUUUCAGUACAAGUAUGAUGAUAUUUUAUUUCAUCGAUUGGUAUCCAAUCUUACAUCUGCACAUAUACUGUUACCAUUUUUCUGUAUAAUACAGUAACUGAGCAGUCUCAGCAUGUUGAAACAGACAUUAGAUUUUAAGCGAUAUCAGUACUCGAGUCAUAUUUAGUUUGUGUGUAGGCCUGUAUGUUUGGCAGUACACAUAUAUUCCUGAAACUUAGCUUGAAUCAAGACAUGAGCUAUCUGGUUGUCCCACAGUACAUGUUAUGCCAGUGAUAACACCUUAUUUAUGCCUGGUAAUAACUCGCCCAUAUAUCUAUUGUAGCUCGAAAGAGGAAAGAUUCCACUAUUCAUGCCAUUUCACAAUCUAGCUGGAUUAUUUAAGACCACCUGUAGGCAAUCUAAGAAAAUCCUUCAAGUUGUAUAAUAAGAGUACAUGAUAAUAAACUUUAUCUAUUUGACAACAAUUAUGAAACAAGUUAUUUCCUCUCAACUUAUAUUAAUCACUCUUCUUUGCUCAAAUGUUAGUGCACAGGGGGUCUUAAUAUGGGAGAAAACCCACAUGGUCAGGCAGGUGACCUCACACCUUUUCACGUCCGAUCGGGGAAUCGAACCCUGGCUGCCUUAGUUAAAAGGCAAGUACGCUAUCCACUGUGCCACCUGACAAGCCUUGGAGUACAUUUGAGCUUCAGUCCAUAUUUUUAUGAAACCUCAUAAAGUGUGAGAUUUAAGGAGACAAGCUACCUUUGCACAUAUACUACACAUGAUUUGUGUGUGUGUGUGUGCCAAAGAUAACCUGAAUCCGUCAAAGCUUUUUAUUCUAUGCUGUUAAGUAUUUGUCCCCUUGUUAAAUCAAUGAUUAAGAUGAAACCAGAAUGUAUGAUAAUCCUUAUAAUUGGCCUAAAAGUUAUGGAAUCUAAAGCCUCCGUGUUUAGUGUUCCAAACUGUAAUAUCAAAGUUUCUGGAAUUGUAUAUUUUUUUUUAUUAAGUACUGUGUUCAUUGUGAAAAGUAGAAUAUUUGUGAAAUAUAAUAUUUAUCGGUGCAACCUAGGUUUAGUUCAUUGCUGUGAACUUCUUUUAGAUUGAAAAUCCAUGCUAGUCAAAGUCUGUCUCGGAUAUAUUCACUGAUUGUGUGAUACCAAACCAAGGUGUGACACUAAAGAGGUUCAUUGAAUGGGUGAUAUAAAGCAGUCGGGUGUCAUGUGCCUGAUCUUGUUCAUCGAUUACUGGUCGCUGGCCGAAGGGUUUCAUGAUCAUUAAAUUAAGUUAUUGGUAAUGUAUUAUUAUAAUGUUACCUUGUUAUUAGAAUCAUUGGUCAGAUUACUGUUAUUUAUUACCUAUUGUAAGGUCAUAGUGAGAAGGUAUUGUAUAUUAUGCCAGUUUAACAUUAUAUUUUGUAGAUUUUCUUUGAAUAUGAUAAAAUACCCUGAUAUAUGACUUUUAAAAUAGUUUAUGGCUGCACUUGAAUUAGCACUUUGAGUUUGCACAAACAAAUAUUGCCAAAAUAAAAUUACAGCUUGCAUAAUAAAUUAUACAGUUGACAGUAAUAAUUCUCAUAUACUUUCUAAUUUUAAUUUAAUAUUGAAAAUGUUUAUUUUGAUUUUGUUAACACCAUAUGUUUUCUGGCCACAAGCUUGUUACUUUGUAAGGUAUGUGAGGAAAAUGUGUAUGUGUGUAUAUGUGUGUUUAAAAGAUUUGUUCGAACUUGACUAGUACAUGUGUGCUACCUUUUUGUCCAAACUUCAAUAUUAAAACCCUGUUAUUGUUUUAAAAUGUUAUUUGCCUUUUUGAAAAAUAUUGAAUUUUGUGAAAGCAUGUUCUGCGAGAUAAAUGUGUACAGUUUGUGCUACCCUGUAUAUAUUGGACGCAGAGGGAGUCGGUGUAACAAGGCAUUGUAAAAAUGAAGUGCACCUCAGUGUCCAAAGCUGCAACAGAAUUGGAAUGUUAGAUCUGCCUUAUUUGAUUACGACGGACUGCAAUUCAAAUUGUCCAACUGAAUGACGAGUGGUUUUGUUUAUUUUGAGACAUAAGAGGCACAUGCUGUAUUGUGUUGAUAUGUGUUGCAAAUGUACAAACUAUUAAAGGUAUUGUUUCUUCCAAACAUCUUGAGAUAAACUAUUACAUAACA
RNAcentral lists this unclassified non-coding RNA (8226 nucleotides) under Mizuhopecten yessoensis (Yesso scallop). RNAcentral describes it as "transcriptional repressor CTCF-like, transcript variant X1". Lineage: Eukaryota; Metazoa; Mollusca; Bivalvia; Pectinida; Pectinidae. The record is from RNAcentral.